CGCGUAUGCAACCUACCUUCUACAGGGGAUAGUCAAUAGAAAUGUUGAAUAAUACCCCAUACGAUCAUUAAUCUGCAUGGAUUGAUGAAGAAAGUUCCGGCGGUAGAAGAUGGGCAUGCGUCCUAUUAGUUAGUUGGUAAGGUAACGGCUUACCAAGACAUCGAUAGGUAGGGGUCCUGAGAGGGAGAUCCCCCACACUGGUACUGAGACACGGACCAGACUCCUACGGGAGGCAGCAGUGAGGAAUAUUGGACAAUGGAGGCAACUCUGAUCCAGCCAUGCCGCGUGCAGGAAGACUGC
RNAcentral lists this ribosomal RNA (300 nucleotides) under uncultured Flavobacterium sp. RNAcentral's name for it is "bacterial SSU rRNA". It matches the Rfam family "Bacterial small subunit ribosomal RNA", at positions 114 to 415 of the family's 1533-position model. The record is from RNAcentral. Lineage: Bacteria; Pseudomonadati; Bacteroidota; Flavobacteriia; Flavobacteriales; Flavobacteriaceae.